Long non-coding RNA from Amblyraja radiata (thorny skate), 890 nucleotides. RefSeq lists it as uncharacterized. The transcript has 2 exons. The record is from RefSeq and is a predicted model, not a curated record. Lineage: Eukaryota; Metazoa; Chordata; Chondrichthyes; Rajiformes; Rajidae.
UGACCUUAUUUAUUUAGGAGAAUGUUGCAAUGUUAUUUCCCAUGAAAGGAAAACAACCCAAGCCAUCAGACUCAUGAUGUAAUAUUUUUGUUACGAAGAAUUACCUCCAGCAAACGUUUAAUUGAAUGAAAAACAUUUGACCCACAGCAACACGCUUAUUUUUUUCCAGUCUAGUACCGAAUGGGGAUUUUUUAUCGUGACAUUUAAACUGUGGUACAGCGGAGGGAGGUCGCCAGCGGUGCGUGAACCCGAAAGAUUGCAGUCUUCCCUUGUGGGGGACCCCACAAACAUCGGCCUAACGUUUAUAUUUUCAGCGAGUUCUCAUUCUCGGUCCACAAAAGAAUGAAACCGCAGAAAGACACUGACGGACUUACUGAACACUUGCAGCAUUUUCUCGACAUAUUGACUAAAACGGAAUUUGGCUGUAAUCCUCAAGCAGGCCUGGAAACCUUUGGGGAGAGGAGUAAUUAAGGUUUCAAGUCGACGAUGGGUUAUCUGUCGUUUUAAUAUUGCUGAUGGACUCUACAUUCGCUAAAAUCCCUGAUAAUUAAUUAAUGGAAAAUUAAAUAUUAGUCUUGUAAUUCCAACUAUUUAUUUAGUCCUACGGCUUUUGGCUGAAAAGGGUAGAUAGAUUUUCCAGUUCCACAAGAUAUAAUAACGUGCAGAUUACUACGUGGUCUGGUCAAUUUUCCUGGCACCACUUCAUCCAAGGCACUGGGCUGAGGAAUGUAUUAUUCGAUGUUAUAUGUGCCUACAUUUGAAGUGAUUUUGUUCCAUUGUCCUGGUGUAUGUAUGUAAAAGCGGGCUUUAAAAGAUCAUCUUUUCCUGACGUUUGCCUGUUCAGAAGUGCUGUAUGACCAUAUGACCAAUAAAAUAUCUUUGAUGUUCAA